UGUGAACUGCAGGACACAUGAACAUCGACAUUUCGAACGCACAUUGCGGUCCAUGGAUUCCGUUCCCGGGCCACGUCUGGCUGAGGGUCGGCU
Molecule: ribosomal RNA, 93 nt
Filed under: Prionotropis hystrix
Lineage: Eukaryota; Metazoa; Arthropoda; Insecta; Orthoptera; Pamphagidae
Description: partial 5.8S ribosomal RNA
Rfam family: 5.8S ribosomal RNA
About the family: 5.8S ribosomal RNA (5.8S rRNA) is a component of the large subunit of the eukaryotic ribosome. It is transcribed by RNA polymerase I as part of the 45S precursor that also contains 18S and 28S rRNA.
Source: RNAcentral